AGAGUUUGAUCCUGGCUCAGGAUUAACGCUAGCGGCAGGCCUAAUACAUGCAAGUCGAGGGGCAGCGCGGGUAGCAAUACCUGGCGGCGACCGGCGUACGGGUGCGUAACACGUAUGCAACCUACCUUUGACUGGGGCAUAGCCCCGAGAAAUCGGGAUUAAUACCCCAUAACAUUGCGAUGAGGCAUCUCAUUGCAAUUAAAGCUCCGGCGGCCUUAGAUGGGCAUGCGCGACAUUAGCUUGUUGGUGAGGUAACGGCUCACCAAGGCUCCGAUGUCUAGGGGUUCUGAGAGGAUUAUCCCCCACACUGGUACUGAGACACGGACCAGACUCCUACGGGAGGCAGCAGUAAGGAAUAUUGGGCAAUGGGCGCAAGCCUGACCCAGCCAUGCCGCGUGCAGGAUCGACGGCCCUAUGGGUUGUAAACUGCUUUUGUACGGGAAAAAACCCCCGGUCGUGUACCGGGGCUGAUGUUACCGUAAGAAUAAGCAUCGGCUAACUCCGUGCCAGCAGCCGCGGUAAAUACGGAGGAUGCAAGCGUUAUCCGGAUUUAUUGGGUUUAAAGGGUGCGCAGGCGGAACGGUAAGUCAGUGGUGAAAGCCUACAGCUCAACUGUAGAAUUGCCAUUGAUACUGUCGUUCUUGAGUAUAGUUGGAGUGUGCGGAAUGUAUCAUGUAGCGGUGAAAUGCAUAGAUAUGAUACAGAACACCAAUCGCGAAGGCAGCUCACUAAACUAUAACUGACGCUCAGGCACGAAAGCGUGGGGAUCAAACAGGAUUAGAGACCCUGGUAGUCCACGCCCUAAACUAUGAUCACUCGAUGUUGGCGAUAUACAGUCAGCGUCUGAGCGAAAGCAUUAAGUGAUCCACCUGGGGAGUACGAUCGCAAGGUUGAAACUCAAAGGAAUUGACGGGGGCCCGCACAAGCGGAGGAGCAUGUGGUUUAAUUCGAUGAUACGCGAGGAACCUUACCUGGGCUUAAAUGGGAGACGGCCGCUGCCGAAAGGUGGCUUCCCUUCGGGGCGUCUUUCAAGGUGCUGCAUGGCUGUCGUCAGCUCGUGCCGUGAGGUGUCGGGUUAAGUCCCAUAACGAGCGCAACCCCUAUCAUUAGUUGCCAUCAGGUAAUGCUGGGAACUCUAACGAAACUGCCUACGCAAGUAGUGAGGAAGGUGGGGAUGACGUCAAGUCAGCACGGCCCUUACGUCCAGGGCUACACACGUGCUACAAUGGCCGGUACAGAGGGCUGCUACCUGGUGACAGGAUGCUAAUCUCAAAAACCGGUCUCAGUUCGGAUCGAAGUCUGCAACUCGACUUCGUGAAGUUGGAUUCGCUAGUAAUCGCGCAUCAGCAAUGGCGCGGUGAAUACGUUCCCGGGCCUUGUACACACCGCCCGUCAAGCCAUGGGAGUUGGGGGUACCUGAAGUCGAUAACCGCAAGGAGUCGCCUAGGGUAAAAUCAAUGACUGGGGCUAAGUCGGAACAAGGUA
RNAcentral lists this ribosomal RNA (1485 nucleotides) under metagenome. RNAcentral's name for it is "bacterial SSU rRNA". It matches the Rfam family "Bacterial small subunit ribosomal RNA". The record is from RNAcentral.